AAUGAUGAACGAACGCAACUUGAAUUUUACACUGCGAGUUGACAUUAAACGCACUAAUGACGAAUUAAACAACGAAAAGAAGAUUGUUAAUCGGUUAAAGGAAGAAGUUCAACGGCUUAUGAAAGAGAUUACUAACUAUGAAUCUCUACAAUUGGAUCAUCAAGCACAAUGUCAGCAGUAUGAACAGGAUAUUCAUACAUCUGAAGAAAAAUAUUUAGAUUCUUUGGCAAGAAUGUAAAAGAUUAGAAGUAAAAUUAUCAGAAACCAAAAGACAAAAUGAGAAUUUACUUCAAGAACAAAAGUCUCUAAACGAAGCACUUACAUCAGCACGUUCAAAAAAUGAAAACUUGAAUUGAAACUUGUGGAUUUAAAGAAACAACUUUCAACUCAUCGCAUGUUGAAGAAACGCAACCAAGAAGAAAAUGAAGAAUUGCGUUCGGAAAUAGAACGCGUUAAAGGCGAUUUUAAAGCGCAAAACGAACGCCAAUGGUGGCUGAAAACUGGCGAAUUUUUAUUUGACAAGUUUACUUUAUGUGCAUAUGUUUUGUUCCCUGCAAUGCCACGACGUUUCCCAACUGAACAUCUGCUUGUCUUGAUAGUUCAAUCGCACUUGGAUCGCUUUAAAAUAAUUUAAAUUUGAUUUCAACUGGAAUAAAGAAGAAUCAAGAAGAGGAUGAAGUGAUAUUAAGGUAGGUGGAAUAUUUUUACAAAGAUAUUGGUUUAUAUCUAUAACACAAUUCAUAUUUACUCAUUUAUUUGCCUUUUUCUAUUGUAUAAUAUUUUUAUAACAAAUAUAUGAUGUUGAAAAUGC
This is a long non-coding RNA of Dalotia coriaria, 811 nucleotides long. RefSeq lists it as uncharacterized. The transcript has 3 exons. The record is from RefSeq and is a predicted model, not a curated record. NCBI's taxonomy places the organism in Eukaryota, Metazoa, Arthropoda, Insecta, Coleoptera, Staphylinidae.